RNAcentral lists this non-coding RNA (85 nucleotides) under Pseudomonas abietaniphila. The record is from RNAcentral. Lineage: Bacteria; Pseudomonadati; Pseudomonadota; Gammaproteobacteria; Pseudomonadales; Pseudomonadaceae.
UGAUAUGGCGGCUGUUCGCGGGGCACAUUCGUGUGCGCCAGUUGCUCUCCAUUGGUCUGUCAACCCGCGUACAGCUGCCACCCAA